GGAUAAAGUAGGCUAAACUUAAGCAGGUUCCCCACGUUAAACUGCUAUAUGCAUUAUGCUACAUGUCAUUGUAAAAUUGUAAUAGGCUUCUUUUCUUAAAUGCAUAUGACUCGGGAUGUCAGUUUGACGUAAGCCAGUAUGGCUAUGAUUAAACUAAUCAAGAGCAUAUUUUUAAAUGAGCGGGUCGGGUGCAUUAUUUUUAUAUAAGGCCUAAUAUUUGAGGUCCGAGUUGCGGUCAUUUAUGUACACGCGCACGAAUACUAUAGAGAGAUCGGUUCCGUGAUUUAGAAAAGUACAAGACACGCCUCCUACUACAAGUUACGCCUACUACAAGUCACGCCUCCAUCUUGCAGGAAGCAGACGGAUACUAUUGGAGUGGUUGCGUAAAUAGCACACCUGUUUUUGAAGUGGAUGAUUAUGUUGCAAAGGCGUUGAUUGGCUACAGGGCCAUAAUAUAAAGAGAUAGCAGAGGAUCAGUGCAACAGUGUUUUAGGUCUGGUUUGGCCUCAACCAAUCUGUCUGGGAAAUACUUUGAAUAUAGUUUGCCAUGGCUGUUGGGUGCAUUCUCAGAGUGUCUUGGUUUUGUUUGUUGCUGUUUGGUGGCAGUCUUCCUUUUCCAUCAAUGAAGGGUUACAGCUAUACCUCCAAGAAUGACCAUCCUGAAAUUGGGGGUGAUAAAGAUGACGAGCUACAAACUUCUAAUACUCUAAGGUUUGAUGCAUAUAGCCUAGAAAAAGGCUAUUCAGACCGAAGCAAAAAAGUCCCACUAGCUGCAGCUCCAAAGCAGGCACUGUUGAACCCUGAGGAAGGGGCGAGGGUCCAGGGAGGCAGAGCUGUGGAGUUUGGACAGAAAAAUGCUGAGAUGGAAGGCCAGAAACUUGUCAAGCCAGUGACAUUCCCUCUAAACCCUCCCAACCAGCAUGAUUACUCUUUUGAGGAGCAGUGGGGCAGCACUAAGCCUCAGUUCCCACCCUCUGACACUAAAGGGGUUUACUCUAGCUCUUCAUUGCACCUUGACCUCCCAGCUGGUGUACAAGAAGGUUCACAAAGCUAUUCCACUAACCUUGUCUACGAGGACUUUUCUCAAUACCCAGCUGCUGAAACUGCACAGCUUCUUUCACCAGAUGAUGACCCCUACACCUAUGACUCUGUGAUUGCGGAACAGCCAAGCAGUUGGUCCUCUGAUCGUUACAUUACCACAGAAGAGCCGGUAUUCUCCAGUAAUGCAGGUGACUGGGCCCAGGGCGCUCCGAACAUUAGCGCACAAAUUCUGGAGGCUGAAGCAGUACCUAGUACUGACACUAAAGGGGGUUACUCUAGCUCUUCACUGCACCUUGACCUCCCAGCUGGUGUACAAGAGGGUUCACAAAGCUAUUCCCCUAACCUGGUCUAUGAGGAUGUUUAUCAAUACCCUGCUGCUGAAAUUGCACAGCUUCCUUCAGAAGAGAGUGACCUCUCUGACUACAACUCUGUGAAUGUGGUCCAGCCAAGCAUUUGGUCUUCUGCUCCCUACAUGACUAGAGAAGAGGAGCCGGUUUACGUCAGUAAUUCAGGUGACUGGGCCCAGGCAGCGCCGACCAUUAGCGAACAAACUCUGGAGGCUGAAGCAAUACCUAGUACUGACACUAAAGGGGGUUACUCUAGCUCUUCACUGAACCUCAACUUCCAAGCUGGUGUACAAGAAGGUUCACAAAGCUAUUCCCCUAACCAUGUCGAUGAGGCUGUUUAUCAAUACCCUGCUGCUGAAACUGCACAGCUUUAUUCAGAGGGGGUUGACGCCUCCAAGUAUGACUCUAUGAACGCAGUCCAGCCAAGCACUUGGUCCUCGGCUUCCUACAUGACCAGAGAAGAGGAGCCGGUAUUCUCCAGUCAUCCAGGUCACUGGGCCCAUGUUGCUCCUGUGGAAACCCCUGCCUAUCCAAGCGAUGUGGCUGAUUUCGGCUUGGACUCUACUUCAAGUAAACCCGCUGCACAACCAGUCCUCUUCAAGCCACUGAAGAAGGCUCCUCAGCUCCCCAGCUCCAAGUGGCUUCAGAGGCCAAAGAAGGUGAGGGACCAGACUGCAUCUACCUACAUUGUCCAAUCCAAGGGCUCACACCGCCGAAGCCGCCAGAUGUUAUCCAAGAAGAAGUACUUCAGCGGUUUCCCUCCACCACCCCCAUUCGUGACUAUGGCUCUGAGACCGUAAGGGGUAAAUGGUGACCACUUGGCCUUCAAUCAAUUGUGUAUUUUUCCCACUUGCUUAUGGAUUUCUACACUGACUAUACCUUCAGUAAUGCUUCGCACUUUCAGCAUAAAAGCUUGUUCCCUGAAAAGAAUAAACUAAAUGUAUCUAUUUAAACUUGACUUUUGUCUUU
Gadus morhua (Atlantic cod) is the source of this 2357-nucleotide long non-coding RNA. The record is from Ensembl. Lineage: Eukaryota; Metazoa; Chordata; Actinopteri; Gadiformes; Gadidae.